RNAcentral lists this unclassified non-coding RNA (205 nucleotides) under plant metagenome. RNAcentral describes it as "partial contains small subunit ribosomal RNA, internal transcribed spacer 1, and 5.8S ribosomal RNA". The record is from RNAcentral.
GUAGGUGAACCUGCGGAAGGAUCAUUACAGAGUUCAUGCCCUCACGGGUAGAUCUCCCACCCUUGAAUAUAUACCUUUGUUGCUUUGGCGGGCCGCGUCAAGCUACGGGCUUCGGCUCGUACGUGCCCGCCAGAGGACCCAACUCUUGUUUUUAGUGAUGUCUGAGUACUAUAUAAUAGUUAAAACUUCCAACAACGGAUCUCUU